RNAcentral lists this long non-coding RNA (594 nucleotides) under Anser cygnoides (Swan goose). RNAcentral describes it as "lncRNA (ENSACDG00005007365.1)". Lineage: Eukaryota; Metazoa; Chordata; Aves; Anseriformes; Anatidae. The record is from RNAcentral.
AUGAGGUCCUCCAAAGAGCAAGUGGCUUUUGAUAACAUGGCAUGGGAUAGAAGAAAGUACAACUGCAGCCACUAUGGCAGAGCACAGGAAACCAGGGGUCAUUGCAGCACCGUUUGCAGGCCAAUUUCCCGAGAAGAUGAGCACACCACACCUCACAGCACAACCUAUCCUUUAGGUAAGUAUGCCUUUUGGGAGGGGAGAGGGAGGAGGGAAUUAAAGAGGCAAAUGAUACCGGGUUAACGUUUGCUGGUUUCAGCUACUGAAUUCUGGAACCUUAUUUUUGUACAUUUUAGUUACUUCACAGUCAGAGUACAGUGACAUCUUUUUCUCUAAGACAUCAGAGGCUACACCUAUACACCUGGCUACACCCAGCAGGGCUAGGACCUUUUCUGGAGCUAUGUGGGCAAAUGGCACAGCACAGCUCCUGUCCACAUGGCCAGACAAACCCCUGUUGUGUAACAGGAUGGGAACCAGCUGGUGGCCUCUGCUAUGCCCUGAGAUAUGCCCAGGCAUUGCAAUGCGGAUAGCUGGUUGUUACAGGCAAAUCACUAGAAGAGGGAUGACAGCCAAUAAAACAAAGCAGACAUAGCUGCA